This 777-nucleotide ribosomal RNA is filed under the name uncultured Neocallimastigales. RNAcentral describes it as "partial large subunit ribosomal RNA". It matches the Rfam family "Eukaryotic large subunit ribosomal RNA", at positions 23 to 634 of the family's 3401-position model. The record is from RNAcentral. Lineage: Eukaryota; Fungi; Neocallimastigomycota; Neocallimastigomycetes; Neocallimastigales.
AGAGAGAGACAUGCGCGCAUAUCAAUAAGCGGAGGAAAAGAAACUAACAAGGAUUCCCUUAGUAACGGCGAGUGAAGCGGGAAGAGCUCAAAUUUGAAAUCUUCAAGGUUUUACCCUUGACGAAUUGUAGUUUAAAGAAGUGUUUUCUGCUGGAGUUUUGGUAAAAGUUCUUUGGAAUAGGACAUCAUAGAGGGUGAGAAUCCCGUAUUUGACCAUUAUUUUCAGCUUUGUGAUACACUUUCAAAGAGUCGGAUUGUUUGGGAAUGCAGUCCAAAAUGGGUGGUAAAUUUCAUCUAAAGCUAAAUAUUGGCGAGAGACCGAUAGCGAACAAGUACCGUGAGGGAAAGAUGAAAAGAACUUUGAAAAGAGAGUUAAACAGUACGUGAAAUUGUCAAAAGGGAAGCGUUUGACACCAGUGUUGUUUUCUCGAAAAUCAAUUAAAAAUGGCUCGAUUUUGUAUUGUUGAGACCUUAAAAGCUCACUGUACAUUUUUCGUGUCUUUUUUAAUGCACUUUUCGUUUAACAAGUCGACAUCAGUUUCUUUUGUUGUAAAAGGGUCAUUGGAAGGUGGCUUUCUUUUCGGAGAAAGUGUUUAUAGCCUUUGGCCUCUGCAAUCGGAGAGACUGAGGUCUGCAGCGUAGACUCUUCGGGGUUAGAUACAUUUGUGCUAAGUUAUAGCCUUUUAUAGACAACUUGUUGACUAUGAUUAGUCCAUUGUAGCUUACUCGCUUAUGCUAUUUUACCUACGCUUAGGAUGUUGAAGAUGUAGCACAUCAU